AACUUGCUGAUGAAAAGACGAGAGUUGAAUGGGAAGUUUCUUAAUGUCAAAAUCACAACUGAGUAAAAAUGUGAUCCCUCCUAGGCUGGAAAAUAUUUUAUUAGGAACACUGAACCAAACACUAUUUUGAUUCCUAAUAAAUGAUUUUAACCAGUUUAUUUUUAAGGUGCCAUUAAGGCUGUUAAAGUCUAUGGCUUCUAGGCCUCCAUCUUCAUAUUUUUUAGUCAGCGUACCUUGUUUAACAUAGUGUGUUUUCCUUUUCCAUAUGAAGUUAAAAUUGACUUGAUUAAUAGAUUUGAUAGCUUGUUUAGGGACACCUAUAGAAUAGGUGGGAUAUAUGAAUCUGGAUAUGCUUUCAAUUUUGGUGAGGAGAAUUCUACCAAAAACAGAAAGAUCUCUCUGUGCCCAGUUAUUCAGCAGAGACGAACAUUUCUUGGGGAUGUCAUGAAGAUUAUUCAGGAAAAUUGUAUCGUCGGCUAAUUGGCUUAUUGAAAAUUCAGCAUUUGCAACUGACAGCUUACCAAAGUCAGUAUGUUUGAUGAGCAAAGACAGCAUUUCUGCUGCUGCAAUAAAAAGAAGGGGUGAAAUGGGGCGACCUUGUUUUAUACCUUUGUUGAUGUUAAAUCUGUGAGACGUUCCCUGUUCUGUCUGUUUUUCUUGAUGCUUCAUGUUUCCUGAAGUGGAGAAACAGGAAGUUUGUUGUUUCUGUGUCAAAGUGACUGAAUGGAAAUGUUGCUGCUGCAGCUCCAUGUCUCCACCUGCUGGAGGGAGAGCAGAAGGGCAGCAGCUGAUGGCAGCUUCCUCUGAUGAUGAGGAGGGUUUCCUCUGCAGGUGAAGGUGUGUGUGAGCUGAUGUGGAUCCAGUGAAUCCAGCAGCAUGGAUCAGUGGGAGGAGCCACAGGAGGGAGCCCCUCCCUCUAAAAGCAGAGAUGGUAACCAUGACAACCACAGCAAAGCUCAGAGGAACCAACCUGGACCUGGACCUGGACUUGGAUCUGGACCUGAUUCUGGAUCCAGUAGUUUGUCCAACAGGAGUGACGAUUCAAAGGAUGGAAAUCCAGACUUCAAGGACAUCCAUCCAGGACUGGAACAGUAAGUGUUUGUCAGAGUUAAAGGAUUCUGGAUUCUAGUUCAGAUGAUCUGUAGAUUUCAGAUGAAGGACUUGAGGUCUGGUUCAGUUCUGGAUCUCUCUGAUCAGACUCACUUGGAGCAUCAUGUGUGUGAUGAGAUAUUUUCAGUUGAG
RNAcentral lists this long non-coding RNA (1242 nucleotides) under Oryzias sinensis (Chinese medaka). Its description in RNAcentral is "lncRNA (ENSOSIG00000002722.1)". The record is from RNAcentral. Lineage: Eukaryota; Metazoa; Chordata; Actinopteri; Beloniformes; Adrianichthyidae.